Molecule: ribosomal RNA, 460 nt
Filed under: uncultured bacterium
Lineage: Bacteria
Description: partial 16S ribosomal RNA
Rfam family: Bacterial small subunit ribosomal RNA
Source: RNAcentral
CCUACGGGGGGCAGCAGUGAGGAAUAUUGGUCAAUGGGCGCGAGCCUGAACCAGCCAAGUCGCGUGAGGGAUGACGGUCCUACGGAUUGUAAACCUCUUUUGCCGGGGAGCAAGCGUUCGUUCGUGAACGCGCGUCGAGAGUACCCGGAGAAAAAGCAUCGACUAACUCCGUGCCAGCAGCCGCGGUAAUACGGAGGAUGCGAGCGUUAUCCGGAUUUAUGGGGUUUAAGGGGUGCGUAGGCGUGAUGCCAAGUCAGCGGUAAAAAUGCGGUGCUCAACGCCGUCGAGCCGUUGAAACUGGUGUUCUUGAGUUGGCGAGAAGUAUGCGGAAUGCGUGGUGUAGCGGUGAAAUGCAUAGAUAUCACGCAGAACUCCGAUUGCGAAGGCAGCAUACCGGCGCCCUACUGACGCUGAGGCACGAAAGCGUGGGUAUCGAACAGGAUUAGAUACCCCUGUAGUC